Long non-coding RNA from Cucumis sativus (cucumber), 647 nucleotides. RefSeq lists it as uncharacterized. The record is from RefSeq and is a predicted model, not a curated record. NCBI's taxonomy places the organism in Eukaryota, Viridiplantae, Streptophyta, Magnoliopsida, Cucurbitales, Cucurbitaceae. The transcript has 2 exons.
UAUCGCGCGGAAGAAAUUGGAUGAAACUGAAAGAACAGUUCUGAGUUUUCGGAUUGAAGGUUGCAGAAGAGGAAAUGUUUCCUUCUUGUUUUCGAGUUAUGAACUUUUUGUUGUGCAGAAUAGGGAGAAUCGAGUACGAAUCAUCAUGAGAACGCGUUUCUAAUGGUCACGGGUAUAAAGCAAAGCUAUAGAUUGGAUUGGUUUUGGUGGUUGUUUUUCUUGUUAAUUUGCUUUCAUAAUUUCCAUUCACUGUGAAAACUCACUUCGUAAAAGCGAAAUGUUGAUCAUGCCGAUCUUGUAUUCCAUUCCAACAAAUAGCUGGAAAGCUCAUUAACUGCUGAGGUUCAACCUUAUACGCCGAUCAUUGACAAUGGACCAUUGCCAGGUAUUUGUCGUCGCUCUCAAUUGGAAAUUACUGAUGGGAAUUUAAUCAAACAGUUGGUGGAAUUUAAUGAUCCGUUGUUACACUAUUCGUAUUUUGCUUGAAACACGAGUCAACUGAUGAAAAGUUGAGUGCACUACACUACACUUCACCAUAGUCAAUGUUAUAUCGUGUUCAUUAUAUUGUAAAAGCAGACUAUAGAUCCAUGUGGAAAGAAAUGAUAUCCCAAAUUCUAUAUUACUAAUUUAUUAGUGCGUCAUAUAUA